RNAcentral lists this ribosomal RNA (538 nucleotides) under uncultured bacterium. Its description in RNAcentral is "bacterial SSU rRNA". It matches the Rfam family "Bacterial small subunit ribosomal RNA", at positions 336 to 865 of the family's 1533-position model. The record is from RNAcentral.
CUCCUACGGGAGGCAGCAGUGGGGAAUUUUGGACAAUGGGGGAAACCCUGAUCCAGCCAUGCCGCGUGAGUGAAGAAGGCCUUCGGGUUGUAAAGCUCUUUCAGCCGGGACGAAAUCGCACGCGUGAAUAUCGCGUGUGGAUGACGGUACCGGAAGAAGAAGGACCGGCUAACUACGUGCCAGCAGCCGCGGUAAUACGUAGGGCCCGAGCGUUAAUCGGAAUUACUGGGCGUAAAGCGUGCGCAGGUGGUUUUGUAAGCCAGAUGUGAAAUCCCCGGGCUUAACCUGGGAACUGCAUUUGGGACUGCAAGGCUAGAGUACGGCAGAGGGGGGUAGAAUUCCUGGUGUAGCAGUGAAAUGCGUAGAUAUCAGGAGGAAUACCGAUGGCGAAGGCAGCCCCCUGGGUCGAUACUGACGCUCAUGCACGAAAGCGUGGGGAGCAAACAGGAUUAGAUACCCUGGUAGUCCACGCCCUAAACGAUGUCAACUAGUUGUUGGGGGCCUUACCGCCCUUAGUAACGCAGCUAACGCGUGAAGU